Molecule: ribosomal RNA, 466 nt
Filed under: uncultured bacterium
Lineage: Bacteria
Description: partial 16S ribosomal RNA
Rfam family: Bacterial small subunit ribosomal RNA
Source: RNAcentral
CCUACGGGUGGCAGCAGUGGGGAAUCUUCCGCAAUGGGCGCAAGCCUGACGGAGCAAUGCCGCGUGAACGAAGAAGGUCUUCGGAUUGUAAAGUUCUGUCCUUAUCGAAGCGAGAGUAUAGAGUGAAAAAUGAUAUACUAGGACGGUAGAUGAGGAGGAAGCCCCGGCUAACUACGUGCCAGCAGCCGCGGUAAUACGUAGGGGGCAAGCGUUAUCCGGAUUUACUGGGUGUAAAGGGAGCGUAGACGGCAAGGCAAGUCUGGAGUGAAAGGCCGUGGCUCAACCACGGGACUGCUUUGGAAACGGUGUUGCUGGAGUGCAGGAGGGGUAAGCGGAAUUCCUAGUGUAGCGGUGAAAUGCGUAGAUAGUAGGAGGAACACCGGUGGCGAAGGCGGCUUACUGGACUGUAACUGACGUUGAGGCUCGAAGGCGUGGGGAGCAAACAGGAUUAGAUACCCCGGUAGUC